AAAUGCCGGUAUGAGUAGCGAAAGAGGGGUGAGAAUCCCCUCCACCGAAUGCCUAAGGUUUCCUGAGGAAGGCUCGUCCGCUCAGGGUUAGUCGGGACCUAAGCCGAGGCCGAAAGGCGUAGGCGAUGGACAACAGGUUGAUAUUCCUGUACCACCUCCUCACCAUUUGAGCAAUGGGGGGGACGCAGGAGGAUAGGGUAAGCGCGGUAUUGGAUAUCCGCGUCCAAGCAGUUAGGCUGGGAAAUAGGCAAAUCCGUUUUCCCAUAAGGCUGAGCUGUGAUGGCGAGCGAAAUAUAGUAGCGAAGUUCCUGAUUCCACACUGCCAAGAAAAGCCUCUAGCGAGGUGAGAGGUGCCCGUACCGCAAACCGACACAGGUAGGCGAGGAGAGAAUCCUAAGGUGAUCGAGAGAACUCUCGUUAAGGAACUCGGCAAAAUGACCCCGUAACUUCAGGAGAAGGGGUGCUCUGUUAGGGUGCAAGCCCGAGAGAGCCGCAGUGAAUAGGCCCAGGCGACUGUUUAGCAAAAACACAGGUCUCUGCGAAGCCGUAAGGCGAAGUAUAGGGGCUGACGCCUGCCCGGUGCUGGAAGGUUAAGAGGAGCGCUUAGCGUAAGCGAAGGUGCGAAUUGAAGCCCCAGUAAACGGCGGCCGUAACCAUAACGGUCCUAAGGUAGCGAAAUUCCUUGUCGGGUAAGUUCCGACCCGCACGAAAGGCGCAACGAUCUGGGCACUGUCUCAACGAGAGACUCGGUGAAAUUAUAGUACCUGUGAAGAUGCAGGUUAUCCGCGACAGGACGGAAAGACCCCAUGGAGCUUUACUGCAGCCUGAUAUUGAAUGUUGGUACAGCUUGUACAGGAUAGGUAGGAGCCUUGGAAACCGGAGCGCCAGCUUCGGUGGAGGCAUCGGUGGGAUACUACCCUGGCUGUAUUGACCUUCUAACCCGCCGCCCUUAUCGGGCGGGGAGACAGUGUCAGGUGGGCAGUUUGACUGGGGCGGUCGCCUCCUAAAAGGUAACGGAGGCGCCCAAAGGUUCCCUCAGAAUGGUUGGAAAUCAUUCGCAGAGUGUAAAGGCACAAGGGAGCUUGACUGCGAGACCUACAAGUCGAGCAGGGACGAAAGUCGGGCUUAGUGAUCCGGUGGUUCCGCAUGGAAGGGCCAUCGCUCAACGGAUAAAAGCUACCCCGGGGAUAACAGGCUUAUCUCCCCCAAGAGUCCACAUCGACGGGGAGGUUUGGCACCUCGAUGUCGGCUCAUCGCAUCCUGGGGCUGUAGUCGGUCCCAAGGGUUGGGCUGUUCGCCCAUUAAAGCGGUACGCGAGCUGGGUUCAGAACGUCGUGAGACAGUUCGGUCCCUAUCCGUCGCGGGCGCAGGAAAUUUGAGAGGAGCUGUCCUUAGUACGAGAGGACCGGGAUGGACGCACCGCUGGUGUACCAGUUGUUCUGCCAAGGGCAUCGCUGGGUAGCUAUGUGCGGACGGGAUAAGUGCUGAAAGCAUCUAAGCAUGAAGCCCCCCUCAAGAUGAGAUUUCCCAUUCCGCAAGGAAGUAAGAUCCCUGAAAGAUGAUCAGGUUGAUAGGUCUGAGGUGGAAGUGUGGCGACACAUGGAGCUGACAGAUACUAAUCGAUCGAGGACUUAACC
Molecule: ribosomal RNA, 1637 nt
Filed under: metagenome
Description: bacterial LSU rRNA
Rfam family: Bacterial large subunit ribosomal RNA
Source: RNAcentral